GAACGAUAAAAAUUAAAGGAGAAAGAGGAGAGGAGGGAGGUUCAAUAAAUGAGUUCACGAUGGCGGGCAUGUCGAUUAACUUGGUUCUUUCAAUAGAGAAGUGCUAGAUCGGAAAGAAUUCUGAUUAAAGUCUUAUAAAUCCAGAUCUGGUAUACGUGGCUUGCAGCUGAUGCCUUGACAGGACAGGCUGGAGAAGGGGGGCAAGAAUUAAGUUCUCUACCCCACAUAGUUGGGGUAAAAAACGGCGAUGCAUGAAAUUAUCAAAGUUUCAAUUGAAUUUAGAAAACAAU
RNAcentral lists this unclassified non-coding RNA (290 nucleotides) under Hevea brasiliensis (rubber tree). Lineage: Eukaryota; Viridiplantae; Streptophyta; Magnoliopsida; Malpighiales; Euphorbiaceae. The record is from RNAcentral.